GUUAAGCGACUAAGCGUACACGGUGGAUGCCCUGGCAGUCAGAGGCGAUGAAGGACGUGCUAAUCUGCGAUAAGCGUCGGUAAGGUGAUAUGAACCGUUAUAACCGGCGAUUUCCGAAUGGGGAAACCCAGUGUGAUUCGUCACACUAUCAUUAACUGAAUCCAUAGGUUAAUGAGGCGAACCGGGGGAACUGAAACAUCUAAGUACCCCGAGGAAAAGAAAUCAACCGAGAUUCCCCCAGUAGCGGCGAGCGAACGGGGAGGAGCCCAGAGCCUGAAUCAGUGUGUGUGUUAGUGGAAGCGUCUGGAAAGGCGCGCGAUACAGGGUGACAGCCCCGUACACAAAAAUGCACAUGCUGUGAGCUCGAUGAGUAGGGCGGGACACGUGGUAUCCUGUCUGAAUAUGGGGGGACCAUCCUCCAAGGCUAAAUACUCCUGACUGACCGAUAGUGAACCAGUACCGUGAGGGAAAGGCGAAAAGAACCCCGGCGAGGGGAGUGAAAAAGAACCUGAAACCGUGUACGUACAAGCAGUGGGAGCACGCUUAGGCGUGUGACUGCGUACCUUUUGUAUAAUGGGUCAGCGACUUAUAUUCUGUAGCAAGGUUAACCGAAUAGGGGAGCCGAAGGGAAACCGAGUCUUAACUGGGCGUUAAGUUGCAGGGUAUAGACCCGAAACCCGGUGAUCUAGCCAUGGGCAGGUUGAAGGUUGGGUAACACUAACUGGAGGACCGAACCGACUAAUGUUGAAAAAUUAGCGGAUGACUUGUGGCUGGGGGUGAAAGGCCAAUCAAACCGGGAGAUAGCUGGUUCUCCCCGAAAGCUAUUUAGGUAGCGCCUCGUGAAUUCAUCUCCGGGGGUAGAGCACUGUUUCGGCAAGGGGGUCAUCCCGACUUACCAACCCGAUGCAAACUGCGAAUACCGGAGAAUGUUAUCACGGGAGACACACGGCGGGUGCUAACGUCCGUCGUGAAGAGGGAAACAACCCAGACCGCCAGCUAAGGUCCCAAAGUCAUGGUUAAGUGGGAAACGAUGUGGGAAGGCCCAGACAGCCAGGAUGUUGGCUUAGAAGCAGCCAUCAUUUAAAGAAAGCGUAAUAGCUCACUGGUCGAGUCGGCCUGCGCGGAAGAUGUAACGGGGCUAAACCAUGCACCGAAGCUGCGGCAGCGACGCUGAUGCGUUGUUGGGUAGGGGAGCGUUCUGUAAGCCUGUGAAGGUGUGCUGUGAGGCAUGCUGGAGGUAUCAGAAGUGCGAAUGCUGACAUAAGUAACGAUAAAGCGGGUGAAAAGCCCGCUCGCCGGAAGACCAAGGGUUCCUGUCCAACGUUAAUCGGGGCAGGGUGAGUCGACCCCUAAGGCGAGGCCGAAAGGCGUAGUCGAUGGGAAACAGGUUAAUAUUCCUGUACUUGGUGUUACUGCGAAGGGGGGACGGAGAAGGCUAUGUUGGCCGGGCGACGGUUGUCCCGGUUUAAGCGUGUAGGCUGGUUUUCCAGGCAAAUCCGGAAAAUCAAGGCUGAGGCGUGAUGACGAGGCACUACGGUGCUGAAGCAACAAAUGCCCUGCUUCCAGGAAAAGCCUCUAAGCAUCAGGUAACAUCAAAUCGUACCCCAAACCGACACAGGUGGUCAGGUAGAGAAUACCAAGGCGCUUGAGAGAACUCGGGUGAAGGAACUAGGCAAAAUGGUGCCGUAACUUCGGGAGAAGGCACGCUGAUAUGUAGGUGAAGUCCCUCGCGGAUGGAGCUGAAAUCAGUCGAAGAUACCAGCUGGCUGCAACUGUUUAUUAAAAACACAGCACUGUGCAAACACGAAAGUGGACGUAUACGGUGUGACGCCUGCCCGGUGCCGGAAGGUUAAUUGAUGGGGUCAGCGCAAGCGAAGCUCUUGAUCGAAGCCCCGGUAAACGGCGGCCGUAACUAUAACGGUCCUAAGGUAGCGAAAUUCCUUGUCGGGUAAGUUCCGACCUGCACGAAUGGCGUAAUGAUGGCCAGGCUGUCUCCACCCGAGACUCAGUGAAAUUGAACUCGCUGUGAAGAUGCAGUGUACCCGCGGCAAGACGGAAAGACCCCGUGAACCUUUACUAUAGCUUGACACUGAACAUUGAGCCUUGAUGUGUAGGAUAGGUGGGAGGCUUUGAAGUGUGG
This 2140-nucleotide ribosomal RNA is filed under the name Escherichia coli. Its description in RNAcentral is "partial 23S ribosomal RNA". It matches the Rfam family "Bacterial large subunit ribosomal RNA", at positions 1 to 2167 of the family's 2925-position model. Lineage: Bacteria; Pseudomonadati; Pseudomonadota; Gammaproteobacteria; Enterobacterales; Enterobacteriaceae. The record is from RNAcentral.